RNAcentral lists this ribosomal RNA (597 nucleotides) under Bacillus safensis. Its description in RNAcentral is "bacterial SSU rRNA". It matches the Rfam family "Bacterial small subunit ribosomal RNA", at positions 843 to 1439 of the family's 1533-position model. The record is from RNAcentral. Lineage: Bacteria; Bacillati; Bacillota; Bacilli; Caryophanales; Bacillaceae.
UGGUUGCAGCUAACGCUUUAAAGCACUUUUGCCUAGGGAGUCCGGUCGCACGACUGAAAUUCAAAGGAAUUGACGGGGGCCCGCACAAGCGGUGGAGCAUGUGGUUUAAUUUGAAGCAACGCGAAGAACCUUACCAGGUCUUGACAUCCUCUGACAACCCUAGAGAUAGGGCUUUCCCUUCGGGGACAGAGUGACAGGUGGUGCAUGGUUGUCGUCAGCUCGUGUCGUGAGAUGUUGGGUUAAGUCCCGCAACGAGCGCAACCCUUGAUCUUAGUUGCCAGCAUUCAGUUGGGCACUCUAAGGUGACUGCCGGUGACAAACCGGAGGAAGGUGGGGAUGACGUCAAAUCAUCAUGCCCCUUAUGACCUGGGCUACACACGUGCUACAAUGGACAGAACAAAGGGCUGCAAGACCGCAAGGUUUAGCCAAUCCCAUAAAUCUGUUCUCAGUUCGGAUCGCAGUCUGCAACUCGACUGCGUGAAGCUGGAAUCGCUAGUAAUCGCGGAUCAGCAUGCCGCGGUGAAUACGUUCCCGGGCCUUGUACACACCGCCCGUCACACCACGAGAGUUUGCAACACCCGAAGUCGGUGAGGUAAC